UAUACUUGUGCUGACGAAUAGUCGUCAGGAGAGGUUUAAAAAAUCAGCCUACGCAGCCUGGGCGGGUCAGGGCGGCGCUAGGCGGGUCUGGGCUGCGCUAGGCGGGUCUGGGCGGCGCUAGGCGGCGCUGGGUAGGUCUGGGUGCCAGGGCUGGUCUGGUUCGUUAGGGUUUAGGGUCUGGGUGCCAGGGUGGGCCUGUCGCAUUUUUUCCAGGCACACUUCUGCAGCCACUUUCUUUUUAGUCUAUUCUUUCACUUCAUUUUCUUCAAUGUUUAUUGAUGGGAUUCAAAAUUAAGGCAGCUCAUCUUUAGCAAGUUUAAACUUCCUUGGAAAUGGGGUCUGCAGAUUUUUGUUCCUUCUCUUCUUCCCUCUAUAAAUAAAAUUGGCUUUGCUUCUGCUGAGACACAGACAGAUUGUCCUCCUUCGAUUUUAAGUUGCUAUCUGAUAUCUUUAUUACGUUUUGUUUUGAUGAUGAGUUACUUAAGUUCAGUGUGUUGAAAGAGUGGGGUUGAUUUGCUGUGUUUUUCUCAUCAUAUGAUUGAUUUACUCAUCUGGGUUCUUAUUGUUAUAUACUGAUUGUGUCAACGUUUCGUCGUUUUAAGUUGUCUAAUAGUAUCACCUUAAUAGUUUUGUUGCAUAAUUCAGGAUUCGAAGAAUUAAUGGGUGAUGUCUAUAUUGAAAAUGAAAUAUCUGAAAUGCCUCUCGCAGCCUAUAAUGAUACUGUGUGGAACACGAAGUCUUCUUUUUGAUAGUCCGGGAUUCUACUCAUCAAUGGAUGACAUUUUCACCCGUCUAUUGACUGGCUAGUUUAUAAGUCGUCGAUUUAUUCAAUUUAUAGGAGUUGUUGCAGAAGCAAAAGACACCAUUGGGACAUCAGUGGAGUCAACAAAACGACAGUUUACAUACUCUGAGAUCAUUAAGAUCACGAACAACUUCAAGCGGAUUCUUGGAAAAGGUGGAUUUGGAAAUGUUUAUCAUGGCUACAUCGACGAUACUCAACUAGCUAUCAAGAUGCUUUCGCCAUCCUCAGUUCAAGGAUUUCAACAAUUUCUUG
This is a long non-coding RNA of Prunus persica (peach), 1054 nucleotides long. RefSeq lists it as uncharacterized. The record is from RefSeq and is a predicted model, not a curated record. The transcript has 4 exons. Lineage: Eukaryota; Viridiplantae; Streptophyta; Magnoliopsida; Rosales; Rosaceae.